CUGCGAUAAGCGCCGGUAAGGUGAUAUGAACCGUUAUAACCGGCGAUACCCGAAUGGGGAAACCCAGUGUGACUCGUCACACUAUCAUUAACUGAAUCCAUAGGUUAAUGAGGCGAACCGGGGGAACUGAAACAUCUAAGUACCCCGAGGAAAAGAAAUCAACCGAGAUUCCCCCAGUAGCGGCGAGCGAACGGGGAGGAGCCCAGAGCCUGAAUCAGCAUGUGUGUUAGUGGAAGCGUCUGGAAAGGCGCGCGAUACAGGGUGACAGCCCCGUACACAAAAGCGCAUGUGCUGUGAGCUCGAUGAGUAGGGCGGGACACGUGGUAUCCUGUCUGAAUAUGGGGGGACCAUCCUCCAAGGCUAAAUACUCCUGACUGACCGAUAGUGAACCAGUACCGUGAGGGAAAGGCGAAAAGAACCCCGGCGAGGGGAGUGAAAAAGAACCUGAAACCGUGUACGUACAAGCAGUGGGAGCACCCUUUGGGUGUGACUGCGUACCUUUUGUAUAAUGGGUCAGCGACUUAUAUUCUGUAGCAAGGUUAACCGAAUAGGGGAGCCGGAGGGAAACCGAGUCUUAAUUGGGCGUUAAGUUGCAGGGUAUAGACCCGAAACCCGGUGAUCUAGCCAUGGGCAGGUUGAAGGGUGGGUAACACUAACUGGAGGACCGAACCGACUAAUGUUGAAAAAUUAGCGGAUGACCUGUGGCUGGGGGUGAAAGGCCAAUCAAACCGGGAGAUAGCUGGUUCUCCCCGAAAGCUAUUUAGGUAGCGCCUCGUGAAUUCAUCUCCGGGGGUAGAGCACUGUUUCGGCUAGGGGGCCAUCCCGGCUUACCAACCCGAUGCAAACUGCGAAUACCGGAGAAUGUUAUCACGGGAGACACACGGCGGGUGCUAACGUCCGUCGUGAAGAGGGAAACAACCCAGACCGCCAGCUAAGGUCCCAAAGUCAUGGUUAAGUGGGAAACGAUGUGGGAAGGCCCAGACAGCCAGGAUGUUGGCUUAGAAGCAGCCAUCAUUUAAAGAAAGCGUAAUAGCUCACUGGUCGAGUCGGCCUGCGCGGAAGAUGUAACGGGGCUAAACCAUGCACCGAAGCUGCGGCAGCGACACUGUGUGUUGUUGGGUAGGGGAGCGUUCUGUAAGCCUGCGAAGGUGGCCUGUGAGGGUUGCUGGAGGUAUCAGAAGUGCGAAUGCUGACAUAAGUAACGAUAAAGCGGGUGAAAAGCCCGCUCGCCGGAAGACCAAGGGUUCCUGUCCAACGUUAAUCGGGGCAGGGUGAGUCGACCCCUAAGGCGAGGCCGAAAGGCGUAGUCGAUGGGAAACGGGUUAAUAUUCCCGUACUUGGUGUUACUGCGAAGGGGGGACGGAGAAGGCUAUGUUGGCCGGGCGACGGUUGUCCCGGUUUAAGCGUGUAGGUGUGUGUUCCAGGUAAAUCCGGUUCACUUUAACACUGAGGCGUGACGACGAGGCACUACGGUGCUGAAGCAACAAAUGCCCUGCUUCCAGGAAAAGCCUCUAAGCAUCAGGUAACAUCAAAUCGUACCCCAAACCGACACAGGUGGUCAGGUAGAGAAUACCAAGGCGCUUGAGAGAACUCGGGUGAAGGAACUAGGCAAAAUGGUGCCGUAACUUCGGGAGAAGGCACGCUGACACGUAGGUGAAGUGAUUUACUCAUGGAGCUGAAGUCAGUCGAAGAUACCAGCUGGCUGCAACUGUUUAUUAAAAACACAGCACUGUGCAAACACGAAAGUGGACGUAUACGGUGUGACGCCUGCCCGGUGCCGGAAGGUUAAUUGAUGGGGUCAGCGCAAGCGAAGCUCCUGAUCGAAGCCCCGGUAAACGGCGGCCGUAACUAUAACGGUCCUAAGGUAGCGAAAUUCCUUGUCGGGUAAGUUCCGACCUGCACGAAUGGCGUAAUGAUGGCCAGGCUGUCUCCACCCGAGACUCAGUGAAAUUGAACUCGCUGUGAAGAUGCAGUGUACCCGCGGCAAGACGGAAAGACCCCGUGAACCUUUACUAUAGCUUGACACUGAACAUUGAGCCUUGAUGUGUAGGAUAGGUGGGAGGCUUUGAAGUGUGGACGCCAGUCUGCAUGGAGCCGACCUUGAAAUACCACCCUUUAAUGUUUGAUGUUCUAACGUGGACCCGUUACCCGGGUUGCGGACAGUGUCUGGUGGGUAGUUUGACUGGGGCGGUCUCCUCCUAAAGAGUAACGGAGGAGCACGAAGGUUGGCUAAUCCUGGUCGGACAUCAGGAGGUUAGUGCAAUGGCAUAAGCCAGCUUGACUGCGAGCGUGACGGCGCGAGCAGGUGCGAAAGCAGGUCAUAGUGAUCCGGUGGUUCUGAAUGGAAGGGCCAUCGCUCAACGGAUAAAAGGUACUCCGGGGAUAACAGGCUGAUACCGCCCAAGAGUUCAUAUCGACGGCGGUGUUUGGCACCUCGAUGUCGGCUCAUCACAUCCUGGGGCUGAAGUAGGUCCCAAGGGUAUGGCUGUUCGCCAUUUAAAGUGGUACGCGAGCUGGGUUUAGAACGUCGUGAGACAGUUCGGUCCCUAUCUGCCGUGGGCGCUGGAGAACUGAGGGGGGCUGCUCCUAGUACGAGAGGACCGGAGUGGACGCAUCACUGGUGUUCGGGUUGUCAUGCCAAUGGCACUGCCCGGUAGCUAAAUGCGGAAGAGAUAAGUGCUGAAAGCAUCUAAGCACGAAACUUGCCCCGA
RNAcentral lists this ribosomal RNA (2711 nucleotides) under Salmonella enterica subsp. enterica serovar Enteritidis. RNAcentral's name for it is "partial 23S ribosomal RNA". It matches the Rfam family "Bacterial large subunit ribosomal RNA". Lineage: Bacteria; Pseudomonadati; Pseudomonadota; Gammaproteobacteria; Enterobacterales; Enterobacteriaceae. The record is from RNAcentral.